UUUGAAACCCACCCACAUUGAAUUUUCCAUUGCAUUUAAUAUCCAUUUUGAAUUUUAGUCAGUUUAAGCUAUACCUCUCGAGCCACUGAAAAACAGGUUUUCCAAGAACAGAUCUCAGAAUACCCAAAUGUUAUUCUCUUCUUCAUCUACCUCAGAACAACAAUCGAUGCUCUUCUCUCAAAAUCAUUCUUCAUCUCUUCUUGAACCAUGAUUCAACGGGAGCGAAGAUGGUGGGGAUAGCGUGAGAGUUUUUGUUGGUGGUGAAUAUGUGGAACGGUGGAAAGGUUUCUUUCAAAGUCACUAAACAUAUACAACUUAGUUAAGCAAAACAGAUCCAAUGUCUUUGAAGACGAAAUAUUUGCCAAACUCUACUACUCACUCAAUCGACGCAAACAUCAAGGCUGCACUUUAGGAUCACCAAAUUUUGUCAUCCAGACGAAAUCAUCAUAUUGUGAAUGGUAUACUGGGUAUCCUGCAACAUAUGUGAAAUAAAUUUGGUUUUAAUGUCUGCUCAUUGAUGACAAAAUGUUACAUCUAGGCAUAGAAUCCUGAGCUUGAUUGUUUGUUUUGCACAUCACCCAAUUGACAAGUGUAUAUUCGUUUCGACUAUUGAAGGAAUUUGAAUUAUGUUUCAAAACUUAUGUUCUUUCAUAUUGUUAAUGAUUUGCUUCUACCAAACAAUGACAUGUAUUACAGAAGUUAAAUUAUUGAUAUGUCAUGAUCAAUAAUUAAAAGAAUAAAUUGUGUUUUACCUUUUCCAAAGGCUAUGUCAGCUGCUGGAAUUCCCACAUGCUGCAGAAAAGCUGUGGAGUAGCACUAGCACGGAACCCUGGUCCACCUACUGCACUGUCAACAUUCAAGUAAGCAACUGUCCUUGAAGCAAGAAUUUCUCUAUUCUCUUCUACCCAUUCUGUUGAUCCUAUCUGGAAAAUAUAAUGAGUCAAAUUUUGAUGCGGCAUUCAUCUUUUGUGUGUAACAAAUUAUAGAAAAUAAAGAAGAAAAUUACAAUGCCAUAUUCCUCAGCAUCCCAAUUGCAUAAGAUUAUUGUUCUUCUAGGCUUCCAUCCUUUUUUCUGAAGCUUGCCUAGUCUUUGAGCUACCUGAAUUUUCAUGUCACAAGUCACUUUUUUUUUCUUUUCUUUUUCUAGCUGGUUUU
This 1155-nucleotide long non-coding RNA is filed under the name Medicago truncatula (barrel medic). RNAcentral describes it as "lncRNA gene37791". The record is from RNAcentral. Lineage: Eukaryota; Viridiplantae; Streptophyta; Magnoliopsida; Fabales; Fabaceae.